RNAcentral lists this ribosomal RNA (497 nucleotides) under uncultured bacterium. RNAcentral describes it as "partial 16S ribosomal RNA". It matches the Rfam family "Bacterial small subunit ribosomal RNA", at positions 28 to 507 of the family's 1533-position model. The record is from RNAcentral.
GACGAACGCUGGCGGCGCGCCUAAUACAUGCAAGUAGAACGCUGAAGCGAGGAGCUUGCUCUUCUUGGAUGAGUUGCGAACGGGUGAGUAACGCGUAGGUAACCUGCCUUGUAGCGGGGGAUAACUAUUGGAAACGAUAGCUAAUACCGCAUAACAAUGGAUGACACAUGUCAUUUAUUUGAAAGGGGCAAUUGCUCCACUACAAGAUGGACCUGCGUUGUAUUAGCUAGUAGGUGAGGUAACGGCUCACCUAGGCGACGAUACAUAGCCGACCUGAGAGGGUGAUCGGCCACACUGGGACUGAGACACGGCCCAGACUCCUACGGGAGGCAGCAGUAGGGAAUCUUCGGCAAUGGGGGCAACCCUGACCGAGCAACGCCGCGUGAGUGAAGAAGGUUUUCGGAUCGUAAAGCUCUGUUGUAAGUCAAGAACGAGUGUGAGAGUGGAAAGUUCACACUGUGACGGUAGCUUACCAGAAAGGGACGGCUAACUACGUG